AUGCCAUCUUUUGGACUAUGCUGCCAACAUGGCAAGGUUGAGUUGCCACCAUUAAGAGAGCCACCGACUUACCUAGUGAAAUUGCUAAGGAAAGACAACGGAAAGACGUCAAAAAACUGCUUGCAAAAUAUCAGAUUGUACAACUCCAUGUUCGCUUUCACAACAAUGGGAGGAAAAGUAGACAAAGAAAUAAACAAUGGCAGUGGGCCAUAUGUUUUUAGAAUGAAUGGGCAGAACUACCACAGAAUAGGUACUCUAUUGCCUGAAGGUGAAGAUAAACCACGUUGGGCACAACUGUACAUCUAUGAUAAUGAAAAUGAGGUAAGAAACAGGAUUAAUGCUUCGACAAGGGAAGAUAAAAGGGAGUCAAUAGAUCCUCACAUCGUAGAGGGCCUUAAAAAUAUGCUUGAUAGAGAUAACAUACUUGCAAAAACUUUCAGAAUGGCAAGGGACAGAUUCGAAGAAGGUGACUAUCAAAACGUGAGAUUAAAAGUAAUCAAUAAGCGACGCUCAGAUGGAAGACGAAGUGACAUGCCAUCUGCAAGUGAAGUUGCAGCCUUGAUUGUCAAUGAUGCCACGGAAAGUAGAAAAGGACGGGAUAUCAUUGUUGAGUACAAAAACAUGAAGCCAAGAAGAAUAUCAGAGAACCAUCCAAAAUUCAUGGCUAUGCAGUAUCCACUAUUGUUCCCAUAUGGAGAAGAUGGGUACAGACAAAAUAUACCUUACAUAUUAAAACAAGGUGCAAAAUGUAAGAGAAAGCAUGUAACAAUGUUGGAAUACUAUGCAUAUCGUCUACAACAACGUACUAACCAAUCGAUGCACUUGCUGGUGUGUGAAAAGCUUACAUUGCAGUUCAUUGUGGAUGCCCUUGCAUGCAUUUUGCAGUAG
Molecule: ribosomal RNA, 888 nt
Filed under: Triticum aestivum (bread wheat)
Lineage: Eukaryota; Viridiplantae; Streptophyta; Magnoliopsida; Poales; Poaceae
Description: partial small subunit ribosomal RNA
Source: RNAcentral